Molecule: unclassified non-coding RNA, 184 nt
Filed under: soil metagenome
Description: partial internal transcribed spacer 1
Source: RNAcentral
AAAGAUAUAGCAUAUUCUUCUGAAUAUACUUUAUUAACCCGCUCCGAGUACCUUACCCAUUGCUUCCGCGAGGCUGUCCUCACGGCCCUCUGAAGAUUUAUCUUUGGGGAGUCCUUGCGGAAGGUAUACAAUAAACUCUUGCAUUACCAUGUCAACUGUCUGAAUCUGUUUAAAACAAAUAUUA